CCGCCCCCGCCAGAGGCAGAAGCGGCCGCCGCCGCCUAGGUCCCCUUAACCUCGGAGGAGAAACAGCUGCCCAAUGAAAUUGAUGCAGCUUGCCCUCUUAAAAGACCUGAAUGGGAUUUUACCACUGAAGCAGUUUAUAAUGUCAGACAGACUGCCAGAUCCUGACAAUGACUCGAAGAUUACAGGCACCUCAGUUCCUGCACCUGGACCAAUGAGCAGAUGCUCAGAUAUGAAACCUGCCGCCUGCCAGAACCUGGCCGAGACUGUGAACAAAGCUGCUGGGCACUGG
This 289-nucleotide long non-coding RNA is filed under the name Cricetulus griseus (Chinese hamster). RNAcentral describes it as "lncRNA (ENSCGRG00015033525.1)". Lineage: Eukaryota; Metazoa; Chordata; Mammalia; Rodentia; Cricetidae. The record is from RNAcentral.